AAUCUUCUAUUUUUUUUCUCUACUAUAAUCUGCUUGACUUUUCAUUCUAAGUACUAGCCUUGACAGGACCCGACCCAAAUUCCACUUUGGAAUUCGAGCCGAACCCUGUCGAGCACAAAUGACCUAAUUGCCUUUUUAAUAAAAUUUCAGUUUAAAAACAAACUUGACUUCUACCGAAAAUUAGGCAGAAUCUCCCCUGUAAUCUGAUCAAUUCCCAAAUUUUUACAUGUCAAAAUAAGCAUAUAUAUACAAUCCAACUACCAGC
Molecule: long non-coding RNA, 265 nt
Filed under: Prunus persica (peach)
Lineage: Eukaryota; Viridiplantae; Streptophyta; Magnoliopsida; Rosales; Rosaceae
Description: long non-coding RNA (PPER_LNC001323)
Source: RNAcentral